Molecule: ribosomal RNA, 504 nt
Filed under: uncultured bacterium
Lineage: Bacteria
Description: partial 16S ribosomal RNA
Rfam family: Bacterial small subunit ribosomal RNA
Source: RNAcentral
AUUGAACGCUGGCGGCAGGCCUAACACAUGCAAGUCGGACGGUAGCACAGAGAGCUUGCUCUCGGGUGACGAGUGGCGGACGGGUGAGUAAUGUCUGGGGAUCUGCCCGAUAGAGGGGGAUAACCACUGGAAACGGUGGCUAAUACCGCAUAACGUCGCAAGACCAAAGAGGGGGACCUUCGGGCCUCUCACUAUCGGAUGAACCCAGAUGGGAUUAGCUAGUAGGCGGGGUAACGGCCCACCUAGGCGACGAUCCCUAGCUGGUCUGAGAGGAUGACCAGCCACACUGGAACUGAGACACGGUCCAGACUCCUACGGGAGGCAGCAGUGGGGAAUAUUGCACAAUGGGCGCAAGCCUGAUGCAGCCAUGCCGCGUGUAUGAAGAAGGCCUUCGGGUUGUAAAGUACUUUCAGCGGGGAGGAAGGCGGUGAAGUUAAUAGCUUAACCGAUUGACGUUACCCGCAGAAGAAGCACCGGCUAACUCCGUGCCAGCCGCCGCCGUAA